CUGGAGGUAUCAGAAGUGCGAAUGCUGACAUAAGUAACGAUAAAGCGGGUGAAAAGCCCGCUCGCCGGAAGACCAAGGGUUCCUGUCCAACGUUAAUCGGGGCAGGGUGAGUCGACCCCUAAGGCGAGGCCGAAAGGCGUAGUCGAUGGGAAACGGGUUAAUAUUCCCGUACUUGGUGUUACUGCGAAGGGGGGACGGAGAAGGCUAUGUUGGCCGGGCGACGGUUGUCCCGGUUUAAGCGUGUAGGUGUGUGUUCCAGGUAAAUCCGGUUCACUUUAACACUGAGGCGUGAUGACGAGGCACUACGGUGCUGAAGCAACAAAUGCCCUGCUUCCAGGAAAAGCCUCUAAGCAUCAGGUAACAUCAAAUCGUACCCCAAACCGACACAGGUGGUCAGGUAGAGAAUACCAAGGCGCUUGAGAGAACUCGGGUGAAGGAACUAGGCAAAAUGGUGCCGUAACUUCGGGAGAAGGCACGCUGACACGUAGGUGAAGUGAUUUACUCAUGGAGCUGAAGUCAGUCGAAGAUACCAGCUGGCUGCAACUGUUUAUUAAAAACACAGCACUGUGCAAACACGAAAGUGGACGUAUACGGUGUGACGCCUGCCCGGUGCCGGAAGGUUA
RNAcentral lists this ribosomal RNA (623 nucleotides) under Salmonella enterica. Its description in RNAcentral is "partial 23S ribosomal RNA". It matches the Rfam family "Bacterial large subunit ribosomal RNA", at positions 1273 to 1879 of the family's 2925-position model. Lineage: Bacteria; Pseudomonadati; Pseudomonadota; Gammaproteobacteria; Enterobacterales; Enterobacteriaceae. The record is from RNAcentral.